UGUGAUUAUUCUGAGAACUCUAUCGGAUAUUAUAAGUUUCUCACUCUGGCUGGAGCACAUACGGGUUCUUCUAAGGCCCACAUGACCUCCAGGAAUUUCUCUGGCCCACUGCUAAUGAAGACUCAUUUUUCUAUCUCAUGGAGUUUUCCUUUAUGUAGGCACAGUUCAGUUCUCACUCAAGGACUCCAGAGAACCUCUAUGUAAAUCUCCACAGUUCUCUCUCUGUGCAGCCCUCUUCUCUCUGUCAGUCUGCCUUGAUGAUUCUAGUCACCUUGGCCUCCAUAAACUUUGAUAUCUUGCUCUUAAAUUCAGCAAAUCAUGAUAUUCUCUCUCAGAUUGUCUCAUACCAUGCUGGAGGCUGGAAAUCACUUUCACUAGAUGGAAAAGUUCUCCAAGUCCCUACCCGGCCCAGAAGCCCAGCCGGUUUCACCUCUCACUGGCACUGGCUGCGGGACUUUGCGGCACUUAUCCCGGGCACUCCGGCAGCCUAGAGAAAGCUCCUCCCAGACAAUCAAGAGGAAAAGAGGGGAAGCAAGAAAGAGACGGAGACCCGCCAUCGUGGCCAAAGACCCCGCGAAGAGGGAACGGUGGUCGACGCACGGGACCCAGCCUCCGAUCAAGCCCAGCAGGCGCUGAGAUCACGCCCACCCAGACCGCACGCCGGCCGGCCAGCGCUGGGCGCAGCCCCGGCUCCUGCUGGCACCUCUCUCUUCACACUUCCCCAAGAGCAGAGGGAGCCGGCUCAGGUCUCGGCCAGCCCCAGAGAAGGGCCCUCAUAGUGCAGAGGUGGGCUGAAGGGCUCCUGGAGCGCAGCCAGAGCGGACGCGGAGGCCGAGGAAGCGCCGAGAGCCAGCGAGGGCUGCUAGCACGUUGUCACCUCUCAUGAUGUUGUAAAAUAAGAAAGGGUAAAUGUUAUUUAAGAAUUCCUUCCUGGCCAGGCACGGUGGCUCACGCCUGUAAUCCCAGCACUUUCGGAGGCUGAGGCAGGCGGAUCAUGAGGUCAGGGGAUCCAGACAGGAGAUAGAGACCAUCCUGGCUAACACGGUGAAACCCCGUCUCUACUAAAACUCCAAAAAAUUAGCCGGGCGUGGUGGCGGGCGCCUGUAGUCCCACCUACUCCAAAGACAGAGGCAGGAGAAUGGCGUGAACCCGGGAGGCGGAGCUUGCAGUGAGCCGAGAUGCCGCCACUGCACUCCAGACUGGGCGACAGAGUGAGAGACUCUGUCUCAAAAAAAAGAAAAAAAAAAGAAAAGAAUUGCUUGUUUCCUGCUGUAGUUAUUUGUCAAAAGAUACAAAAAAUCUAUAAGAGUUAAGCAAAGCUAUAUUUAUUUUGCUGCAACACUACUAUGCACAGUGACAUGGUCAAGUUGCUUUUUAUAAUGAUUUAUAGUGAUAUUAAUUUGCGUCAGUCGUUUUCAUGACCCCAAAGCCAACUCAAUAAUACCAGAAAAUACUUGUUUGCUUGCCUACAUUUUGUAAUAAUCCAAUGUCCUGAAAUAAAAAUGAAUAUUUUCUUCCUGGAAAUAAAGUGAGAUAAUUUUCUUCUUCCAAGAGAGUCAUGAAACAAGAACAGAAUGACAUUAUACUAAACUAUUUCACAAAUAUGGGUCAACAGUGGAGGCUUUUUUGUUCAUUUAUGUAAAUUUGAUUUGGCUCUAUUUUCCUGAGUUGCAUUUUAUGCUUCUUUCACCUGCCUUGCCAAAUGAAAAGAAAAAUCAUUUAUUUAUUAAAACAUACACUAAUACAAGAAAAUAAUUUCACUCUUCACAAACUUUGGCAUUAUGAAGUCACUGGUUACUGGAGAUUUAAUUUCUGUAACAUAUCUGAAGUGCUUAUUUUUUUCUUUCCAUGAAGGAAACCUUUUGGAAUUAAGAUAUGGUACAUUGAACUAAACGAGGAUUGCAUUUGCUGUUUCUGUGAUAACAUUUUACAUCUGAAAUUCCAAUAAAUAUUUCUCUUCUUGCUUUGAGGUGGUUUAGUUAAUCAUUCAGGUGGUUGGCUUUCAUAAGAAGUAAAGGCGCGCCAGCAUUUAUAGUUUCCCAGAGUUCGUUUUUUGCCUCAAGCUUGUAUUUAUUCUUAUUACACUCACUAGCUUAGAUACCAGGUGAAUACCUGGGAGAAAGAAAAAAUUAAUUUAAAAAGUAAUAAAAAUAAAAGAACAAAAAAACACAAAACUAUUCAACAUGCCAGCAAUCCUGUUCUCUUAAGAAACCUACCUGUUUUUUUCAAUGCGUAUAAGUUUUAGCAUUUUAUAGCAAUUAGAUGAGUCUCUAUAUCAUUAGAACUUAUGUCCUUGGAAUUAGGACAAUACUAUUUUCUGCAAUAAAUAUUUGGCUCUAGAAAUCUAUUUUGACCUGUACUAUAAUGCAUAGCAGCAGAAUUAAAAUAUUGUGUGUUAUCAUCAAAAGUUUCAGCCUUAUUUUUUCACAUUUGAAUAUAAAUAUUAAAAUGAUGAAGGCCCCUUUUAGUCUUUUUAUUCUUAGAGAAGGCUGAAUAAAUGUUAUAAAACAAGAAAAAGACUGUAAAAGAAUAAUUGCUAAUUAUAAAAAAAAUUUAAAUAUAUCAUCAAGCCAUAAUAGCGGUUCUCUAUUUCCUUUUUUAAUUUAAAAUGGACAUGAACAAACUUUCAUAAUACCUUUGUGGAAUCUAGUUAGAGCUUUACUCCAUUACAGAACAGAAACUUUUCACUGUGAAGAGAUCAAAAGCACUGCUUUCCUUUGUGGCAAAUGAACAUUUAAUUAUCUAACGCUAAAUAAAAUUUGCUGGCAAAAGAUAUGCUAGUAAAAAAACAACACAAGGCUUUUUUCUGACAGUAUGAUUUACAUAGCUACAUUUUCAUUACUUUUAUUUUUCUACAUAACUAGUGUCUUUUCAGUUGCAAAUGUUUGACAUUCUGACAAGUAGUGUGGCAGAGUCUUAGAUUAUAGGUUGCAUUUAGCCAAAAGAAAGACUUCGAAUGGAAUUUUUUUCUAUUGACACACUUUCUAACAACAUACUUAUUUUCUAAAAAGGUUUUUAUAACUUAGUGUUGAUAAUAUCAAAUAUCUAAGCAAUUUUGCUUAAAAAGCAUAGAACACCAAUAUUUAAUGAAGAUUAGUUAAAUAGCACACAUUGACUACUUGUUUAAAAAUAUUCAGAAAAGUUUUGACACAUGCUAAAGUGCUGAAGUAUGGUUUUGGCCUUCCAUAAAAAUAAUAUAUUGUGCAUAAAUGGAAGCAGAAUGAAGAAAGCGAUGAGAAAACAUCUAGAAAAUUGCUAGUGUGGUAAACAUAUUAAAAUAAUUUGGCAUGGGAAAUGUUUUUUCUCUUUUAAAUUUAAUUAUGGUAAGAAAGAAGAGCAUUUUAAAGAAGAUGUUAAUUUCCAUCAACAAUAUGCAAGAGAAACUAAUGUAGAGUAUGUAUAUUAGAGAAACACAUAACUGCAUAUAUGUAUGGUUAAAACUUAAUGCCUUCUGGCUUUGUCAUUUAUAAGAAUUAUUACCUACACAAGGAGUACUGUGCUGAACCCUUUGCAUUUCCUUAGUUUUAUCACAUAAAAGCAAACACAUCUCCAUUUUCUAGAUUUUCUUUCUUUUUUUUUUUUUUUUUGGUGUUCACCUGGUAUUUACCUCUAAAUUUCUAAAUAACUGUGCAAAGGAGGGUUAACCCAAUAGAUGAGAUUGCUCAAACCUUCCACAUUCCCAAGAAAAAUCUAUUUUCCGGACUAGUCCCUGGCUGGCUCAUGGAAGCUUAAGCACUGGGCUUCUCAGAGUCAUGAAAAUAAGGUCGCUCCACUUUUUACUCUUUGGUUCUUGGACUCAUACAGUCUAUCUUAAUGGUUAAAUGACCGUCAGGUCAACACACAUUCUGCAUCUCAAAGGACAACACUACAAUCCCACGCAUAUUAUCUCCAAGUUUAUGCUUAGCUUCACUUUUAAUUUUCUCAGGCCUCACCCUUUUGGGUGAUAUGGGGUUUAGUAUGCAACCGUCUUGUGUCCAUUAACACACCUCUUUCACCAUAAAACAGGUUUCUUUGCCUGUGAGUAUAUAAUACAGGGUCCCAUGCCAAUAUAUCUGUGAACAAUACUAUCCUUAAGUAGUAGUAUGGUCCUAGCCAUUGCUGGCAAGAAAAGCAAAUUUUAAAUGAGCCUUACUCAAAACCAACUGCUCCCCUUUUUGGAAUGAUCCUAAAUGCUCAACUUGCAACCAAGUGGCUGGUUGGCCUCCCCAUAGAACAGUGUCCUGUUGAGGUCAUGGUUUCUGAUGAUGACAGGAUGGAUAUUCUGCAGCCACAAUAGAAACCUGGAUGAGAGGGAGCCUAUGCUGUUGGCUUGCCAGCAGCCACCUUGGCUACCUCCACUAUGAGCGCCUCCACUAUAAGCAGCUAAGGAGAGAUACUAGCUGGCAUUUGCUGGAUAAAAGACAUCCCAUCCACUUUGUUGUUUAGUGUCUGCUCUUCAGUGGGUGUUCUCUGAUGGGCCGUGAUGUAAGAUAACAAUACAUCUUCUUUCUACCUGAUUCCAUGUGUUCAUCUACACUACUUUUUCCCAAAUCGAGGUCAGUGUUAGGGCUCUGAACACAAUACCCUAAAGUUUGGUACCUGGUGUGCUGAGUACUUUGAACUAAAGGAGAUUGGAAGGACCUCAGAAGCAAGGUCUUUCUGACUUCUUAUCCUCCUGUUUCCUUCUUCUCUUUCUUUGCUGAAGUCAGUCAUGGAACUCAGAAUUCCUAUUCUCCAAGGUGGAUCAUAGAAAGUAAAAUUCUUCUUCCCCGAGGCACGUCAUGGAAACAAAAAUUCUCUUCCAAAGCAAGCCAUAAAACCUAGAAGGCUCAUUCUAACUUUUUUCCCUUCUCCCUUGCAGACACUUAUUCUAGGAAGGUCCUGCCCACACCUAGGAGGAAGAAACCCUACACAAAGAGGCUAAUAAAUAUUUGAAUAGAAAGGCAUUAUUGUGCUUCCCCCUUCAGUCUAUUACCAAUGGAUUAUACACUUUUGUCUAGUCAGCUUUCUACGUGGAUACCCAUUCUUCAUGAGCCUAAGCAUCAAAAUAGACAGUUCCCCCUGGGUCAUUGGGUCUUCAUUUCUGAAGGCUCCUGUGUCAUGUAAAAAACUGAUUAAAUAAAUUGCUAUCCUUUUCUCUUGUUAAUCUCUGUCUUUUGUUACAGGAGUGUCAGCCAUGACCUAUGAUGUGUGAAGAAAGAUAUCUCACACCUUUCUACCCCUUCACCGCUGUCUAUUCCACUCUUAAUCUGCACUCAACUACUGUGACUCUCCUCUUGGUCUCUUAUCCCAGAGUACUGUGACUCUACCUCUAAGCCUUGCUUCCUGCUCUUGUGCCAUUUUUUACAUCUUUCUCUAAUCUUACGGAUUAAAUUAUAUCCAUUUGAACGUCUGGGAUGAAAUCUGUUUUCUGAUGCAUCCCUUACAAAUAUAAGGACAUUUCAACAAAUAUUUAAGGGAGGAUAUCUCAGAGGAGGCUGUUUUGGACAGAAUUAACACCAAGAUCUAAUAAUGAAAUCAUACCUUGCCUGGAUCUUUGAAAAACAGUACGACCAGUGUGAAUGAAUGGAGCAACCAAGAGGUUAGGCAGUAGGAGAUGAGGCCAGAGAAGAAAGAGGGUGUGGUAGCCCCCUAAUCCUGGCACUUACUUCCACUGGAUCUAAAAUCCAGCACGGAAUUAUGCUGACCACAUCAGCCUAACUAAUAUUGAUCUAAGUAACAUUUAUGUUCUAGCACCUAAAUCAGGAGUCUGCAAAGGAUAGCCCACUGCCAAAAUCUGGCCCACUCUCCAGUUUUUGUAACUAAAAUGUUAUCAGAACUCAGCCAAGUCCAUUCAUUUACAAACUGUCUACGGUGGCAGAGACAAUACGGCUCACAAAGUCUAAAAUAUUUACUCUCUGGCUCUUUAUAGAAAAAAUUUGCUGACCCCUUGUCUAAAUUAUAGCAAGUAUGAAAUCCUCUAUCAUCAGCAAUGGCAUAGAAGGCAGCAUAGGAAUUUUUAAAUUUGCCCUUGAAUUAUAUUGUAAGCCUUAUGUAUGAGGUCCUAUUUUUGCAAAGUGCUGAGCACCCCAUCCUAUAAUGAGGAGUGCCCACUUUCCUUUCUCAAUUGGUCUGUCUUAUAACAUUUACGAAGAGACUCACAGUCUCUCUGUGGCCUUGUAUUCUUGGCUAAUAUCCCUUUUUUUUCUUCCUGGAGUACUCUCUACUCUGUCUUAGAGUUUCCAACUGUUUAUCUGAAGUAGUGGUGUCAGCCUCUGCAAUGCUUUCUGUUCUACAGGGUGUAGGGUCUUUUUUUUUUUUUUUUUUUUUUUUUUGAGACAGGGUUUCACUUCCUUGCCCAUGCUGGAUCACAGUGGCAUGAUAAUGGCUCACUGCAGCCUUGACCUCCUAGUCCCAAACUAAUCAUCCCAACAGCCUCCCAAGUAGCUGGGACUACAGGUACACACCAUCGUGCCUGGCUAACUUUUGAACUGUUUUGUAGAGGUUUCCCCAUUUUGCCUAGGCUGGUCAUGAACUCCCGGCCUCAAGCCAUCCAACCCACCUCAGCCUUCCAAAGCACUGAGAUUACAGGCAUAAGCCACAGUGCCCAGCUGAGUGUAGGGUCUUGAUCCUCUGGUCUGUCCCACCUUGUCUUCUUUUGCUACAAGUAAUUAGACAAAGUUCUAAGGUACAACAGGGAUGCUGAGUCUAGUUUGUUUAAAGAUACUAUUCAGUUCCUAUGAAAAGAUCCAUGAGUGUGUAGCUUGGUUUUUAGUACAGCCUUGACAAGUUAAUCCAGUAGAGAAACCUGCAUGCAAAUGUGAUUUCUGAUUAUAGCCUUGGCUACUUACGCAGUUUUUGGUGUUACUGAAUUUUUUUAAACAACUUUCCAAUUUCACAGGCUUACCCAAGGGUAUGAUCAGUGAAAACCACAGCUUCUUUGUUAGUUGUAAAGGACUCGGAAGUCAGUGAUGGCUGUUGUUGACUCACUCAUAAACAGCACAUUAAGGAAAAGGAAGUUGAACAGUCGUCUACAGUUGUAAAAGGAGCACAAAUAGUCUCUGUUUAAUUUUUUUUUCUUUUUAUAUGUGGCCCGUCUAACAAUUCUAUCAUGAUCAUCGUCAAUCAUUAUCAUCCUCCUCAACAAAGCUCUAAUUUUAUUUAGUUUCAGAAAAAUUUAAGCUGAUGGCAGUUCAAUCCCUUUGAACCUGUGAUUGAGAUCAUAUUGUUCUUUAAUUGUGAAGCCUCAUUUAGAUUAAUAUUAAUAAAAUAUUUAUAUAAAUUUUGAUGAUUUUAUAAAUGUAGUCUUGACAGAAUGAUAUGAUCUCAAUCACAGAAUAAUAUUUGUGAGAAACCAAUGCUACCUCAUUCAGUAACUUUACCUUAUAUAGUUAUUGGCUGUUUAGUUUUUCUUCUUCGUGGUCAAACAAAACAUAGUAAUCAGAUUUACAAACCUAGUAAUCAGAUUAUGAGAUUAUUCAACUCAAAUAUAUACAAUAUAAUUGUACUACAUGAGCUGUUUGUACAAACAUUUUCACUAACAUCACCAGAAUUGAGAAAUAUGUAAAGUAAUGUAUAUUUUUUAUUAGAUAGUUUAAUUCCAGCCAAGUAUCAAGCCGUUUCCAUAAUCUGACAUACUAGCUAAGGGAAAAUAAUGAGGCCACUCAGAAGUUUCUUUUUCUAGUUGUCUCAGUAGCUUGGAUGUGAUAAGCAUGAAAAAACAUGAAUUGCUAAACCAAAUUAAAAAAAAAUUUCUGAAACUAUAUAACACUUCUGAGAGGGCUGCAGAUUUGUUAGCAGGUUGUUUUUCAGUCUGAAAAAAAUGAUUAAAUAUUUCUACUGGGAAUGGAACAUUUCAGUCAUAACAAAAUAUAAACUCUAAGGAAGCUAAUACUAAUAUUGUUUGUUAAAAUCCUUUUGUAUUCUUUGCUUUUCAUAGAGGGAGAGAGUUAAGUUACAAGGGAAUGGUGAACCACAACAAAUGAAAAGUCGUUUUGUGAGUAGUGUACCUUUGCAUUGCUGUAUUUCGAAAGGUUUGAAGUGGGGAUUUCCAGUGACAAAGAAACACAAUUUGAUCUCAUAACCCUAGACACCCAGACUUAUUUUAAAUGACAGAGACUUAAGAUUGAGAGAAAAUCUGAGUCAUCGUCCAGUUCAGUACUUUUCACUUAGUGGGAAAUGUUCUGGUCACCUUGGGUUUGAACAGUUUAGCAACAUUGCAGGAUCUUCUACAGAUGCAUACAUAAGCAUUUGAACAAAUUCUCUAGGUAGGCAAAGAUCAUUGCAGCUGAAUGUCUAAUGAUCUUUAUCGCAGACUUAUCUAUCCAAUGUUCCAGGGUAAAUGUUCUAUUAUUAACAUUCCUGAGGAAAUACAUUCAUGGAUAUAUAUGUUUAGCUAUAUUAUUUAACUACUAUUUCAAAUCUAUAUCAAGACUGGUCUUAACAUUUCUAAAAUAAGUAACUAUAUCAACAUCAUAAAAAAUGCUGCCACAUUUUUUUCGAGAAAGAAAUACUCUCUAGACAUAGUGUUAAACCUUUCUGCAUUAGAACUAAAAACCGUGAAAAGAAGAACAGUUUUUAUUGUGUUAAGACACUGAUUGCUGGUUAGGAAAGAGCGUGUGUGUGUGUGUGUGUGUCAGAGAGACAGAGAGAGAGAAAAGCAGGGGAAGCUUGUAAUGCAUAAUCAAAUAGUAAGGUUAUGAGAGAUUUAUCCCAGAUUAUCUAUAAUUUUCAUUGGUCCAUGAAUGGUGGAGGAAAGGUAAAAAUAUCUUUAAUUCCAGAUUUCAUCUUUGGCCACCAACAAAGGGGCAUCACUUAUCCUAUUGGUUUUAAAUACCAAUGAACUAGUGUAAAAGAUGAGGAUUCAUAAAUUAUUUCACUCAGAACAAAGCUUUCAAAUGUCUGAAACUAGCCAGAAUCUUGUCAACAAUUUCCAAAAUCAGAUUCUGAAAUUUGAUGUUGUUUGCAAAACUCCUUCACCAAGAUUCCCAAGAAAGGAAAAUGAUAGGAGUGAAGUUUGGGAGAGAGGACAUAAUAAAAACAUAAAAUUGAAGAAUUUGUUCUUGAUCAUUGUGGAAAUAGGAGAAUACCAUAUUUUAUAUUUAUUAAUUAACUUGUCUCUAAUGACAGAAAGAAAUGUAAAGAAAUACUAUGAACACCACAAAAUUAGACAGCCUAGGUGAAAUGGACUGUACACCUCAAAAUUAGAUAACCUAGAUGAAAUGGACAAAUUUUUAGCCACGCAUAAAUUACCUAAUGUGAUUCAAGAAGAAGAAGAAAUUCUUAACGGCCUACAACAAGAAUGGAGAAUAGACCAGUAAUCAAAACUCCUCCUCAACAACAACAAAAGCCCAGUAUCAGAUGUCUCACUGGUGAAUUCUGUCAAACGUGUAAAAAAGAAUAAACACCAAUUCAUCUUAAAUUCUUCCAAAAAAUAGAAGAAGGAGCAUUUCUCAAGUCAUUACAUGAGACAAGCAUUAUCCUUAUACCAAAGUCAGAUGGAGAAAUCCAAAGAACAGAAAGUUACAGACCCAUAUUUCCUAUGAAUACAAGUAGAAAAAAGGUAAUUAAUAAAGCAUUCCAAUGUAUAAUAUUAUCUCAAAGAAUAAAAUACCUAGGAACAAAUUUGAACAAGGAAGUGAAAGACUUGUACACUGAAAACUACAAAACACUGCUAAAAAAGUUAAAGAAGAUCUACAUAAAUGAAAAUAUUGGGAGACUUAGUAUUGUUAUGUUUCCAAUUCUACCCAAAGUGAUCUACAAGUUCAAAGCAAUUCUUAUCAAAAUUCCAACAGCCUCUUUGCAGAAAUGAAAAAGCCAGUCCUCAAACUCAUAUGGAGUUGCAAAGGGAUCUGAAUACUCCAAACAAUGCUGAAAAAGAAAACAAAAUGAAAGGACUCACACUUCCCAAUUACUGCAAAGCUAGAUGGUCAAAUCAGUAUGGCCCUGGCUAAUGGAUAAACAGACAAGCCAAUAGAAUUCAAUAGAGAGUCCAGAAAUAAACCCAUACAUCUAUGGAACACUGAUUUUUAAUAAGAGCACCAAGUGUAUUCUAUGGGGAAAAGAAUAGUCUUAUCAACAAUGGUGUGGGACAACUGUAUUUCUACAUUUAAAAGAAUAAAAUUGGGUCUGCGUUUUAUGCCAUAUAACAAAUUAAUUCAACAUGAUUCACUGACCCAAUAUAAGAGCUAAACUUAUAGCAUGCUUAGAAGAAAACAUGAGUAAAUCUACAUGAUUUUUAAAUUUGGCAUUUAAUCUUUUUUUGUGUAAAACUAAAAUAAUGAGCAACAAAAGAAAAGUUAGACAAAUUGAAAUUCAUCAAAAUUUAAAUAUAUUGUUUAUCAAAGGACAUUAUAAAGAAAGUGAAAUAACGUAUAGAAGUGGAUAAAAUAUUUGCAAAUUAUAUAUCUAAUAGGGGUUUAAUAAUCAGAAUCUACAAGGAAGACCUACAACUCAACAACAGAAAUGCACACAACCAUCUGGGCGCAGUGGCUCAAGCCUGGAAUCCCAGCACUUUGAGAGGCCGAGGCGGGUGAAUCACUUGAGGUCAGGAGAUCGAGACGAGCCUGGCAAACGUGGUGAAACUCCGUCUCUACUAAAAGUACAAAAAUUUGUCGGGCGUAGUGGUGGGUGUCUGUAAUCCCAGCUACUUGGGAGGCUGAGGCAGGAGAAUCGCUUAAACCUGGAAGGCGGAGGUUACAGUGAGCCAAGAUCGCACCAUUGCACUCCAGCCUGGGCGACAAGAGCGAAACUCCGUCUGAAUAGGUGUUUCUCAAAUAAGUUAUACAAAUGACCAAUAAGCACACAAAAAAGACGUCCAACAUUUUUAGCCAUUAGGGAAAUUCAAAUAAAAGCCACAAUGAGUUGUUACUUCAUAUCUACCAGGAUAAUUAUAUAAUUUAAUUUUUUUAUAAAGAAAAAUAAUAAAUCUUGGUGAGAAUGUGGAGAUAUUGUAACCCUCAGACACUGAUGAUAGGAAUGUAAAAUAGUGCAGAUGCUGUAGAAAAGUUUGGCAGUUUUCCAAGAUGUUAAUAAUAGAACUCCCAUGUGACCCAGCAACUUCUCUCUUAGAUAUAUGACCAAAAGAAUGGAAAACAAAGUCUCAUGCAGGUACUUGUAUACCAAUAUUUAUUAUUCAUAAUUGUCAAACGGUGAAAGCAACCCAAGUAACUAUCCACAGAUGAAUGGAUAAACAAAAUAUUCUAUAUAACUGCAAUAAAAUAUUAUUCAGCAAUAGAAAGAAAUGCAGUUCUGAUGCAUGCUAAAACAUGGAUUAACCUUGAAAACAUUAUGCUGAGUGAAAUGAGCCAGACACAAAAGUAUUAAUAUUGUAUGAUUCCACCUAUAUAAAAUAUAUAUUAUAGGGACAUAAAAUAGAGGAGAGGCUACCAUAGGCUGGGGUGAAGGCAAAUGAAGGGAAAUGUUGAAAAAUAAAAGAACAAAUUGAAAGAACACACACUACCCAAUUACUACAAAGCCAGGUAAUCAAAUCAGUAUGAUCCUGGCACAUGGAUAAACAUACAGGCCAAUGGAAUAAAACUGAGAGUUCAGAAAUAAACCUAUACAUCUAUGGAAAAUCGAUUUUUAACAAGAGCACUCACCUUGCUUAAUGAGUUUCUAUCUGAGUUGAGAAUUUCUCCCUGGGAUGAUAAAAAGUUUUGCAAAUAAUGAUGAUGGUUACAUAGCAUUGCAAAUGUAAUCGACACCACUAAAUGAUAUAUGUAAAAUAAUUAAGAUAUCAAAUUUUAUUUUAUGUGCAUUAUACCCCAAGGAAAAAAAAUAAAAAGGAAAUAAAACAGAAUGUAUGGAAUAUUGAUUUUAAUUGAUCAAUAUGCCAUUCCAACUAGUUUUGAUUUUAUCCCGUUGAAUUUAUCCUGGUUAUUUUUAAUUAUAUCAUCAUAAUUACAUUUAAUAAAAAUGUUACAAAAAUUAAAAAUUUAGAGAUUGGCAGAAUGGAUAAAAGUAUGGUUAACUAUAUGCUCUCUAAAAGAGAUACUUUAUAUUCAAAGACACAAUAUGUUGAAAUUAAAGUGAAGGAAGGGGAUAUACCAUGAGUAGCCAAAAUAGAGCUAGAUAUACUAAUACAGACACAUAUAUUUUAAGACAAAAUUUGUUACUGAAGUCAAAGACAUUAUAAAAUGAUGAGUGAUUCAAUUCAUCAGGAAGUUAUAACAAUUAUAAAUGUAUAUAUGCCUAGCUAAAGAAAUCAGAAACAAAAUAAACAAUCUAACAAUGUACCUUAAGGAACUAGAAAAGCAAGAAUAAACAAAACCCAAAGUGAAUAAAUGAAAACAAAUGAUAAAAAUCUUAGCAAAAAUGAAUAAAAAUUAGACUAAAAAUAAUACAGAAGAUCAAUUUUAAAAAGUUGUUUUUUGAAAAGACAAACAAAUUCAACAAAC
RNAcentral lists this long non-coding RNA (12356 nucleotides) under Homo sapiens (human). Its description in RNAcentral is "HSALNT0272336". The record is from RNAcentral. Lineage: Eukaryota; Metazoa; Chordata; Mammalia; Primates; Hominidae.